This 433-nucleotide ribosomal RNA is filed under the name uncultured bacterium. Its description in RNAcentral is "partial 16S ribosomal RNA". It matches the Rfam family "Bacterial small subunit ribosomal RNA", at positions 29 to 507 of the family's 1533-position model. The record is from RNAcentral.
AACGAACGCUGGCGGCAUGCCUAACACAUGCAAGUCGAACGAGACCUUCGGGUCUAGUGGCGCACGGGUGCGUAACGCGUGGGAACCUGCCCUUAGGUUCGGAAUAACUCCCCGAAAGGUGUGCUAAUACCGGAUAAUGUCUUCGGACCAAAGAUUUAUCGCCUUUGGAUGGGCCCGCGUUGGAUUAGCUAGUUGGUAGGGUAAAAGCCUACCAAGGCGACGAUCCAUAGCUGGUCUGAGAGGAUGAUCAGCCACACUGGGGCUGAGACACGGCCCAGACUCCUACGGGAGGGAGCAGUGGGGAAUAUUGGACAAUGGGCGAAAGCCUGAUCCAGCAAUGCCGCGUGAGUGAUGAAGGCCUUAGGGUUGUAAAGCUCUUUUACCCGGGAUGAUAAUGACAGUACCGGGAGAAUAAGCUCCGGCUAACUCCGUG